UCACUGAAACAGAGCAGCGAUGGCACAAGCCAAGAACCAUGGGUGUGAAACCAGGCAGAGUGAGUGACAUGGUGUUCAUUUCCACUAAGCCAAAGCAGUUUACAGUUGCUGACGGUGUAAGGAGUACACGUUACAAGGCCGUGCAGGGGGAGCUGCCAGACCCAGAUGUCCUCAAAGUCAGCGAGGUAUACAAGGACUUCUCAG
This is a long non-coding RNA of Trematomus bernacchii (emerald rockcod), 204 nucleotides long. RefSeq lists it as uncharacterized. The transcript is spliced from 3 exons. NCBI's taxonomy places the organism in Eukaryota, Metazoa, Chordata, Actinopteri, Perciformes, Nototheniidae. The record is from RefSeq and is a predicted model, not a curated record.